ACCAAUGUCAUCUUCGCUGAUGUUGGGGAAUUCCAAAGAAUCAGUAGCCACUUCCCACUUUACAGACUUCUUAUCCAGACAGUUUUCUUCAACAAAUGUCUUUAAAGAGUUAACUUUUGUUGACAAAUACCUCAUUUUGCAUGCAAGGGCCAUGUCUUCAUCUUCACUUCCUGUCGACAGAGGCUUGCAGUAACGGUUGGAGAGGGCACACACGAUGCGCACAUAGUCACCGAUAAAUGGCACUUGAUUGGUCGGAAGAACAUGAGCAAGGUACUUCCAUCGCUUUAUUCUUGCAUUGGCUGCCUCAACGACCCAACGAAUCUGAAAAGUUAAGAACAAGCACCACUCAUAAAAAAGGUCUGGUAAUCAAAAUAUGAAAACAACUAACCUUGGUGACCAGACGAGAGGCAUUGGCAUCUAAGGUUGUCAUCUGCUUCUGCCCUCUGCUCAUCAGGCGAGGCAUUUCGGCCCUUAUUCCCAGCUCCUCGAGCAUAUCGACUGAAUCUCGGAAGCCUCUGUCUACAACAAAAACAUCAUCUUCAUGGAACCAGCCCUUCAGAUCUUCUACAUUGGUAUGAAGCAUAUGGUUGAGGAUAGUGGCAUCAUUAUUCCUAGCUAGUCCAAGAUGAUGUGGUACAAAUGACUUCAUGCGUGCUGUAAGGACUGAUUUUACUGCUCUACAGAGGGAAGACUUUGAAAUUCCAAAAAUCGUGGCCAGAAGUUGAUUUGACAUUCCUGAUCUCAGUUUCAGAGGAAAGAUUCCAAGUGACAUCCUUGUGCCUCAGUUUUGUGUGUUUCGAAUAUCACUGGAAAUAAAGGAAUGGAGGUCUUCAAAGUUUUCUUUAGAGAUACUAGUCAGUGCCAUAUAAUCACUGUUGCUCAUGGUAGACAGUUCAAAAGAAAAUCUGCUUUUUGAGGUCUGGAGGGCAUAAUUUCGUAUUUUUUGGAUCAGUUCCAGCCCUGUCGACUUGUUUACAAAUGAAGACUCGAAUGUCUGUAUUUUGGUCAAAACACCAGGUCUGAACUCUCCUUCAUCAAUGUGGGAUGGACAACAUCUGCUUCCAGGUGGGAUGAUGAUUUCAUGGUGAAGAAAGGCUGAAAAUCUAGCUGCUGAAGACACGACAACAAGUUUAGGACCCGGUCGCUUGCAGAUUAAGCAGUAAGCAUGUGAAGAAGGUGUUCUCUGGAGAGGCAAAGAUAUAGAUGGUGGACUGCACAUUCCUGGUUGUAGAGGCCGAGACACAGGAAGGGAACUAGACUUCUGCUGGCAUGUUUUCUGGUUUCCAUGGUAGCGAUGUCUUCACUUUUUGCACAAAAUGUCAUUUGAGUUUGCCUCAACAAGAAAGUUCUUUCUGAGGAAGCGACGGAUUGCUGUUGACUCACAUUUUUUUCUGUCAUUUGGCCUUGUUCUUUUUUUGCAAAGGAUGCAUGGGAAAAUCUUUUUACUCUCUGUUUUCACUUGAUCUUUAUUCAUUUUUAUGUUCUGAAAUUACAAAACAAAAAUGUAGUGAUACACAACUUUAGUGUUCACUAAAAAAUAAAGAUAUCAUUUUAUAUGUA
This is a long non-coding RNA of Magallana angulata, 1560 nucleotides long. RefSeq lists it as uncharacterized. Lineage: Eukaryota; Metazoa; Mollusca; Bivalvia; Ostreida; Ostreidae. The transcript has 3 exons. The record is from RefSeq and is a predicted model, not a curated record.